Molecule: unclassified non-coding RNA, 2218 nt
Filed under: Haliotis rufescens (red abalone)
Lineage: Eukaryota; Metazoa; Mollusca; Gastropoda; Lepetellida; Haliotidae
Description: peroxidasin-like, transcript variant X1
Source: RNAcentral
CAAAGUGUGGAUGGACAUAUUUUCCAACCAUUGUUUUAAACAAAUGAUGUAUUGUGUUUGAAUGAGCAGAAUCGUUCGUUACAAGCUUUACAGUACUUUGUGUGAAGACAGAAGUCAGAGGUACGCUUGCUGCUUAGGCAUUUGUACCGUACGAAAGGUGGGUGUUAAUCCUUGUCCAGCGUGAUUUACACGGAUAAACACCUGGGCCAAAGAAAAAGUAAAUACCGGUUGUAACUAUGGACACGUUGUACCACCACGUGUGCUUGUUCAUGUGUGUUGUAAUUGGACUGUUUGGAUGGGUGUCAUCGCAGACAUCGAAGGAGAUAAGAGAGAGUUAUUCCCUGCAACACGCUCUCGAUGUUCGGUUCGCAGAUGUGGACAAGAACGGCGGGAGAUCAGCUAGAGCCAUGCACACGGCGUUUGUGGGCAGCAGCCCAAGGGCUCGAGCACUGGGCUACAACUACCAGGAGCGCAUGUCCAACACAUUAAGGAGUAUCAAAAGGUUCCGUGGUUACUCUGGAGCCAUGGACCCUGCCAUCAUGAUGAAUACCCUGAUGCUUGGAGCCAAUGGGAUGUGUGCAAACAGAAGCUUUAUCUGUGACGAACGACACAAAUUUCGCACUUCUGACGGCAGCUGUAACAACAUCCACAACCCCACUUGGGGGAAGUCGUUCAUCCCCUUCAGAAGGUUCCUUGGACCCCAAUAUGAUGACGGAAUGCGCAUUCCACGUUUACGAGGUAUGGGCGGAAUUCCUCUUCCUAGCGCUCGCCUGGUCAGCACGACAGUCCACACGCCUGACGACAGUUAUCCUGUAAGCCGCAGCAUCACCAGCAUGGUGAUGCAAUGGGGACAGUUCCUGGAUCAUGACAUUACACUGUCGCCCAUCAGAACAGGGAUGAAUGGAAUGCCUCUGACGUGCUGCCCCGACGAUGUGCCACCAUUCAUGAGAACCACACUCGACGUCAGCUUACGAGACGGGUGUUUUCCAAUCCCGAUUCCACUCGGUGACCGCCACUUCCGGAGUAGGUGUAUGCACUUCGCCAGAUCUAUCCAGGCGGAUAACUCCAGAUGUUCUGGAAUACCAGCAGAACAGAUGAACCAACUGACGGCGUAUAUAGACGCCUCCCAGGUGUACGGGUCUACGCCGGAAGAGGUGGCAUCUCUUAGGAUGAUGGUCGGCGGUCUGCUGAAGAUGUCACGGUUUACACUUCUUCCACGAGACAGAUCCACCUUGGAGGUUUGUACGGACCAGUGCUUCAAAGCAGGUGAUGAGCGCGUUAACGAGCAGAUGGGGUUAACAAGCAUACAAACCAUCUUCAUGAGAGAGCAUAACAGAAUAGCCCUGACUCUCAAGAAGAUCAAUCCACAUUGGAAUGACGAACGACUCUUUCAAGAAAGCAGGAGAAUCAUCGGUGCCAUCUGCCAGAAGAUUACUUACAACGACUUCCUUCCUCGGGUGUUGAACAGGGCAACCCUGACACAAUACCGACUGAAUUCCCCAUCUAAGGGGUAUUAUAAUGUAUAUGACAAACUCAUUGACCCAAGCAUAAGGAACGCUUUCGCAGCAGCAGCCUUUCGUUUCGGACACUCCUUGAUAAGAUCGACUGUUAGUAGGAGGCGACAGGACUUCUCUGUGAAUCGUGUCGUUCGUACGCGAGACAUGUUCGGUAACACUGCCAUGGUAACCGCGAGCAAUGGGGAGGCAGUUCAUGAACUUUUAAGAGGGAAGCUGAUUGACAGGCCAUGCAGAGUGGACCGAUUCAUGUCACGGGAGGUGACAGAUUUCCUGUUCAUUCAAGCGAACUCCAGCCUCGAUCUUGCAGCUCUGAAUAUCCAAAGAGGACGUGAUCAUGGUCUGCCCGGGUACAUUUCCUUCAGGAGAUGGUGUGGAUUGUCAAGUGUGGUUAACUUCUUGUCGGCCCCGGGAGGACUUGUUGACCAUGAUGUAGAAACAACAAGACGACUUGCCGCAGUUUACAGCCCAACUCCAAGAGAUCCGUAGAAGCAGCCUGUCUCGCCUCCUCUGUGACAACACCAACACCUUCCACGUGCAGAUAGACGCCUUCAAAACCAUAUCUGGAAGAAAUCCCCGUGUGUCCUGCUUCAGCCUCCCCAGGCUUGACCUCACAAAGUGGCAGGAACUCCACGGCGGCUUGCCAGGACAUGGUGUGUGGCCAAGAUGCUUUGUGGGGCACCAUCUCUUCCCAAUAGUGAAGG